Ictalurus punctatus (channel catfish) is the source of this 3043-nucleotide long non-coding RNA. The record is from Ensembl. NCBI's taxonomy places the organism in Eukaryota, Metazoa, Chordata, Actinopteri, Siluriformes, Ictaluridae.
GGAAAACCGGAGUUCCCGGAGGAAACCCAUGAAGCACGGGGAGAACUUACAAACAUCACGCACACAGGGCAGAGGUGGGAUUCCAACCCUCAACCCUGGAGGAGCAAGGUCCGCUCCCUGAAGCAAAGCCUCUCCUCCUGACUUUCCGGAAGCUUCUGUACUGGACAGAGGAGACAUCUGCAACAUGUUCAGCACCAAAAGGUCAGGGUGACAUCACUGUUUUUGUGUUGUUUCUUGUGGACAUACGUGAACGCAAGAAGGAAAAUGUCACAAACCUCUCGGGCAGACCAUUUGGAAAGGCUAAUGCAGCAGAUUCCAAAGUGACAUUUGAGUCAUAGGCUUUAUUUUCAGAUAUGAUUCAGAUUUUGUGAGGAAAACGAAGACCGAGCUGAUUUCAGGUCAGAAAUGAGGCCUUUCCUCGACUGUCGAAGUAUCCGUAACUGCCUUACGUUAUGCUCGAGCAUUUCAUCCACAUUCGAACGUUCUGCAAACCAUGUUCUACUAUUAGUCACCAAUGAAUGAAUGAAUGAACGCCUUUUAUUGUCACUAUACAUAUGUACAAUGAAAUUAAGAGCCACUCCUUUUGGUUCCGUGCAAACAUAUACAUUCAAUACACAAGAAGAAUAAACAGAUAAAUAAACAAGAUAAAUAAACAAAAUAAAUAAACAAGAUAUACAAUAUAUGCAAGAUAGAUAUGCAAGAUAGAUAUUGGGGUGGAUGGGGGAGGUACUAUGAAAUGCACAGUUUUGAGACACUAUAUACAUAUGCUGUGGACUCAGUACAUGUGUUUGUUUAUGAUGGUAAUAGCUUUCGGGAAGAAACUAUUCUUAAAUCUAAUAGUCCUUGUUCAAGCGUAAGGUAAUUGUGAUGUGUUUACUCAAUGGCAACCUUUUUGAGUGUUACUGUCUAUACAUGACUCUCUCUAAAUCUUCAUGCUGUAACACCAUACUGUAAGGUCUGUUUACUGUGAGGAAAGACACGAACAGAUGGGUUCCUCAGGAAACAUACAUGUUCUAAUUGACAUAAAGGCUGACUGAACAUAACAACCUGUCCAUUCUAACAGCUGAACCUGAAACUUUUAAUAGCUGAACACAAAUCAGCAUCGUCAUCACUUAUAUACCAGCAACUGGGGUGCCUGAGACUGAAGUGUGUCUUCUAACAAAAUAACACCCGUUCAUUAAAAUUCUGACAAGCACAGGGAGGUAAUUAAACCUGUGGGGACGCGUCACGCUUGGCGAAAGCGGCGGUGGGAGGAUGCGGAUUUACACGAGGAAUCAAAUUGUAGUUUAGCAUAUAAUGUGCUCACAUGCCGCUCUAGUCCCGUAUUUCCCUCUUCUAUACGGAUGUUAGCGUGUUGCUCUUAAACGUCACGUUAAAGAUAUGUUCAGCUAUCGGGUCAGAUAAUCGAACAUGGUCACCUGCAGAAUUGUUGGUAGCCUUCGUGGAAAAAUGAGUAAUAAUAAAUAAAGGGGUGUAUUUUCAGGGUUCCUUUAACAAAAAGCACAAAAAAUCAGGGAUAGAAAAUGGGGACUGAAGAAGGAAAUUUUUUUUUUUUUUUUGGUUUGUCGUCGAAUACAAAGUAACUUAAGAUAAAGAAACUGUUCGAAAAUGAAAAGUAAAAAGACUUUUGUAUCAAGGACAUAAUGAAAUGUGGAAUAUUGGAAUAUAGGCUAUUUGAUCACAUUCGGGACAUAUGCGCACUCACUUAAAAUAAUUGUUAUUUUUUAUUAUUUUAUUAGAGAAGUACGUAUUUCUUUCAAGUUCAAACAUAUAGAUUUUUUUACAUUUGCACUUUUCACUCAGUUUGAGAUGAAUAUUUUUAAGUUCAAGACUGCACUACUGAAAAAGAACUAUUGGAACCUCAGGAAAGUCCUGAGUGGUGGUGGUGGUGGUGUUUAUUAUUAAUAUCGGCCUACAUCUUGUGCCCCACUUCACCAUGGAGCGUUACGGGAGCCGUCCCCUAAGCAAACAAACCGCACCUUACAUAAAAGCUCCUUCAAAAAACUUUAAUCAGAUCAACAGCCAACAACGCCCUGCCUUCGAUUAUAUCCGAACGAAGUCUGCAACUGAGACUGGACGUAAUAAAUCCCGAAACGCUCUGCCUACAGAACUCCUUUAGUGCCUCCUGUUUCCAUACACUGCGUUUUAUGACUGGACGGAAGGAUAUUUGUCACCCAGGUUAAUUGUUUAUGCUCAUGGACACUCCUUAAAAAGUUAAGAGCAGUGUUAAAUGAACUUUCCCUCUAAAUCUUCUCCCUGCGUAAAAAUAAGAGACGCUCAUUCUCUGGGGUUUGUAUAAUAACUGUGCUGGAGAUGAUAAGCUCAGCUUUAAUCAGACUCGAGAGUGUUUACAUCCCAAAAUGGCACAAAGUCCCUGCAGCCCCGAGUACUAAACUUAUUACUAACUCAUUAUCUUCUAUCCCCUCUGAAACUCAGACUGAGACUAUCUCUUGUUGUCUCCGAAAUCCAUCUCUGAGCUCACCUGCAGCGCCACGUGACCUGCUGGCUUCUCGCCUGGCUUAGUCAUAACGCGGCAGAGACGCAUGCUGGAUGUGCUCGUUACGCGUCCUCUGCCCUCAGCUCAAGCUAUUAUCUCAGCAGUGGAUGCUAGUUAUAACUAGCAUGAAGAGGAAAUGUCUAAGCUGAGCUAGCUCUGUGUGUGUGUCCGGUGAAAUCCGUGCUGUCUAGCUCGUGGAAGAGACUGUAACCAGAGAAGCAGUUACGAUAUUCGAGCAGCACUCGCUAGCUGCAGGCCGAGGGCGUGGGAAUUUAUCGGAUGCUACACAGAGCCGAAUUGUUCCAGACGAAAUGACGUACGUCGAUCAAUUCUGUAACCGCACAGCACUGAUUAACAGUGCUCAAAGUCUAUCCAUGGAGAUAUUUCUCUAGUAACACCUCAUUCACAGGGAUUUGCAGGACAUUAUGUAUUAUUGUAAGAAAGUGCUGCCACUGGAGACUCCUUCCAUAAAUGGUACCAUACCAGCAAAAUAUGGUGGGGAAAAAAAAAUUGUUGGAUGGCUAUCGAUACCGGUUGAUUCUCAAG